GCCGCGGUAAUACGUAGGGUGCAAGCGUUAUCCGGAAUUAUUGGGCGUAAAGGGUGCGUAGGUGGCGGAGUAAGUCUGGUGUGAAAUCCCGGGGCUCAACCCCGGAACUGCACUGGAUACUGCUUUGCUUGAGUACUGGAGAGGAGAUUGGAAUUUACGGUGUAGCAGUGAAAUGCGUAGAUAUCGUAAGGAAGACCAGUGGCGAAGGCGAAUCUCUGGACAGUUACUGACACUGAGGCACGAAGGCCAGGGGAGCAAACGG
This 262-nucleotide ribosomal RNA is filed under the name uncultured bacterium. RNAcentral describes it as "partial 16S ribosomal RNA". It matches the Rfam family "Bacterial small subunit ribosomal RNA", at positions 514 to 775 of the family's 1533-position model. The record is from RNAcentral.